This 789-nucleotide long non-coding RNA is filed under the name Oncorhynchus mykiss (rainbow trout). Its description in RNAcentral is "lncRNA (ENSOMYG00000061306.1)". The record is from RNAcentral. Lineage: Eukaryota; Metazoa; Chordata; Actinopteri; Salmoniformes; Salmonidae.
AUGACGUGCCUGCGGCCCUCCAGGACCAGGGUUGCCGACCCCUGGACUAGAGUCCCGUCCAGGGUUGCCGACCCCAGGACUAGAGUCCCGUCCAGGGUUGCCGACCCCAGGACUAGAGUCCCGUCCAGGGUUGCCGACCCCAGGACUAGAGUCCCGUCCAGGGUUGCCGACCCCAGGACUAGAGUCCCGUCCAGGGUUGCCGACCCCAGGACUAGAGUCCCGUCCAGGGUUGCCGACCCCAGGACUAGAGUCCCGUCCAGGGUUGCCGACCCCAGGACUAGAGUCCCGUCCAGGGUUGCCGACCCCAGGACUAGAGUCCCGUCCAGGGUUGCCGACCCCAGGACUAGAGUCCCGUCCAGGGCCAGGGUUGCCGACCCCUGGACUAGAGUCCCGUCCAGGGUUGCCGACCCCUGGACUAAAGUCCCGUCCAGGGCGUGCACGCGUACAUCAACCUGCCUCAUGCUACAGAGACAGAGAUCUGCUGCCAUGAGUGGAGGUGAUAUGGUCUGUGGUGGUUCUGGCUCACACAAGGCUACUUACAUAUUUUGUCAUCAAGUGGGAGAAGUCGAUGCAUAUUUCUCAACAGUGAAAUGUAAUGAUGUUCAGCAUGGCAUCUCAGAAUCAAACAUUACUAAAGUCUGCAUCAUAUUUCAUACAAUCCUAUAGGAUUAAUAACCAUGAAAUGUUAAUGAGUUUAAAAUCAAAAUCUAAGAAACAAGCAAACAAAUAGAUGAGUUCAUUAAUGGGGAGGUGUUGGAUAGUGACAAUAGGAAGUCAGUCCAACAGUUA